RNAcentral lists this ribosomal RNA (433 nucleotides) under uncultured bacterium. RNAcentral's name for it is "partial 16S ribosomal RNA". It matches the Rfam family "Bacterial small subunit ribosomal RNA", at positions 29 to 507 of the family's 1533-position model. The record is from RNAcentral.
AACGAACGCUGGCGGCAUGCCUAACACAUGCAAGUCGAACGAGACCUUCGGGUCUAGUGGCGCACGGGUGCGUAACGCGUGGGAACCUGCCCUUAGGUUCGGAAUAACUCCCCGAAAGGGGUGCUAAUACCGGAUAAUGUCUUCGGACCAAAGAUUUAUCGCCUUUGGAUGGGCCCGCGUUGGAUUAGCUAGUUGGUAGGGUAAAAGCCUACCAAGGCGACGAUCCAUAGCUGGUCUGAGAGGAUGAUCAGCCACACUGGGACUGAGACACGGCCCAGACUCUUGGGGGAGGCAGCGGGGGGGAAUAUGGAAAAAUGGGCAAAAGCUGUAUCCGGCACUGCGGGGGGAGUGAUGAAGGCCUGGGGGUAGAAAAGCUCUUUUACCGGGGAUAAAAAAGACAGUAGGGGAAAAAAAAGCUCGGGCUAACUCGGUG